GAGGCUUUAGCUUAAUUAAAGUGUCUGAGUUGCAUUCAGAGGAUGCGUGGUAAGGUUACGCAGGUCUUC
Molecule: transfer RNA, 69 nt
Filed under: Delma australis (marble-faced Delma)
Lineage: Eukaryota; Metazoa; Chordata; Lepidosauria; Squamata; Pygopodidae
Description: tRNA-Ala
Source: RNAcentral